AGGGAGUUUUUCCUCCUAAAUUUUUUAUAUGAGAGGGUUUUACAUGUAUUUUUUUGAGGUAGUGUAGAUGGAUUUUAAAUAAAUUGAUUGAAUAGGGGCUUGAUUGCAGUAGAUAGUUUUAUUUAGUUUAAGAAAUUAAGACGGAGUUAAUCUAAGAGUGUAAACUAAGUUUGUGCCAGCAGUUGCGGUUACACAAACUAUGCAGUGGAAAAUUUUUAGUUUGGGAUAAAAGUAGAAACAGGGAAUUUAAUUUGGGAUUUAUUAGGUGAAAUUUUAUGUCUUGGGUUGGUUUGUAGGGGAUUGUUUGAUCGUGGAAGAUUCUAUGAUGAGACUAGGAUUAGAUACCCUAUUAUUAGAAAAGUAAAUGUUGAUGACUGAAUUAGUAGAAGUUAAUUUUUUUGAAAGUUAGGAUAAUUGGCGGUUUUUUAGUCUAUUCAGAGGAACCUGUCCUGUGAUUGAUAGUCCACGGUUAGAAAGGACUUUAUUUUUAAAUUUACAUAUCGCCGUAGGUAGAAUAUUUUUUUAGAGAUUGAAUAUUCAUGAUUUAGAGUUAGUUAAAAUCAGGUCAAGAUGUAGUUUAUAGUAAAGUAGAGAUGGGUUACAAUAAAUUUAUUUAAACGGAGGUAGAGUUUAAAACGAAUUUAAGGUGGAUUUGAGAGUAAUUUUGGGUGUAUACCUGAGAUGAUUAAAGCUCUAAGAUAUGUACAUAUCGCCCGUCGCUUUCGUUUAAGAUGAAAUAAGUCGUAACAAAGUAGGUGUACUGGAAAGUGCCCCUAGAAAGAC
RNAcentral lists this non-coding RNA (783 nucleotides) under Trigonopterus triradiatus. Lineage: Eukaryota; Metazoa; Arthropoda; Insecta; Coleoptera; Curculionidae. The record is from RNAcentral.